GACGAACGCUGGCGGCGUGCCUAAUACAUGCAAGUCGAACGCACUCUCGUUUAGAUUGAAGGAGCUUGCUCCUGAUUGAUAAACAUUUGAGUGAGUGGCGGACGGGUGAGUAACACGUGGGUAACCUGCCCUAAAGUGGGGGAUAACAUUUGGAAACAGAUGCUAAUACCGCAUAAAACCUAACACCGCAUGGUGYAGGGUUGAAAGAUGGUUUCGGCUAUCACUUUAGGAUGGACCCGCGGUGCAUUAGUUAGUUGGUGAGGUAAAGGCUCACCAAGACCGUGAUGCAUAGCCGACCUGAGAGGGUAAUCGGCCACACUGGGACUGAGACACGGCCCAGACUCCUACGGGAGGCAGCAGUAGGGAAUCUUCCACAAUGGACGAAAGUCUGAUGGAGCAACGCCGCGUGAGUGAAGAAGGUUUUCGGAUCGUAAAACUCUGUUGUUGGAGAAGAAUGUAUCUGAUAGUAACUGAUCAGGUAGUGACGGUAUCCAACCAGAAAGCCACGGCUAACUACGUGCCAGCAGCCGCGGUAAUACGUAGGUGGCAAGCGUUGUCCGGAUUUAUUGGGCGUAAAGCGAGCGCAGGCGGUUUCUUAAGUCUGAUGUGAAAGCCUUCGGCUCAACCGAAGAAGUGCAUCGGAAACUGGGAAACUUGAGUGCAGAAGAGGACAGUGGAACUCCAUGUGUAGCGGUGAAAUGCGUAGAUAUAUGGAAGAACACCAGUGGCGAAGGCGGCUGUCUGGUCUGUAACUGACGCUGAGCUCGAAAGCAUGGGUAGCAAACAGGAU
This 790-nucleotide ribosomal RNA is filed under the name Latilactobacillus sakei. RNAcentral describes it as "bacterial SSU rRNA". It matches the Rfam family "Bacterial small subunit ribosomal RNA", at positions 28 to 778 of the family's 1533-position model. Lineage: Bacteria; Bacillati; Bacillota; Bacilli; Lactobacillales; Lactobacillaceae. The record is from RNAcentral.